GAAUGUAUUGGAAAGGCACAUUAACAGUUUUAAGCUUUGUUUAUUUUUUUGAAAACAGCAUUUCUCAAGUCAAGGCCACCUUACCCCCACAAGAGAUGAUUACAUUAGCCGUAGCUACAAUAUUGCAUGCAUUUAUUCACCUUGGAAUGAACUGUGUGCAAAAAGCACUAAAGAGGAGGGGGAGUGCAAUAGAAAGUGCUUGUAAAACAUCUUGAACAAACAUCGAAUGUGCAAAAUGAUGGUCAAAAAUCAUGGAUUGAGAAAGUCUCAUCCUCCAUUAUUUUCACUUUUCUUUUUUGGCCUUGUAUUCUUACAAUUUAUACCUACAGUAUCAUGAAAACCCUGUGAAAUGAAAGCACUGUUUAUCAGCUUUUUGUGUGUCCACUCUGUCCUGUGCUCAAACAGGAAAUAUAUGGCUAGAUGUUGAAAUACAAAAUGCAAAAACACUACAGACUAGAUUAUCCUAUUUUUGUUCUCAGGCCACACAAUCUUACGGCAUUUUAAAAGGCCUAUUUUACAAUACUGAAUUCUUGCCAUUCCACUUCUCCAAUCCAAUGUUUCUGACAGAAUUGGCCUCUCAUAUUCAGAGAUGUAAGGCAAAGUUGCAAAUAAUCAGAGUCCUUUAAUCCAAUGCCUGAUUAAUUCUGAGUUAGCCUGAGAAGCCCUGCUUGGCCCCACAAAGGAAAACUAAAACCUUAUACAUCCACUGAGUAGUCAACUCUUUUAAUUCCCUGUAUGACUAAUUUUGGAAAAAUACAGCUGAUGGCUGCAGGUAAACAAGGACUAAGAAACAGGUCCAAGUCUCUGACACAAGCACACAAUGGUUUCAAGCUAGAUUGAUAGUCACAUAUAGUGAUUAUUUUAAAACUUUAACUGAAAUAGUUGAAAUAUCCAUUUUAGCUGCAGCCAGGUCACCAAUGUGAACAAUACAUCACACUGAUGUAUCACAGUGUUUACUUACAGUGGAGCUGAUAGCACAGGCUACGAGUAGUCGCUAAAAGAAUUAUAUCAGGAAUUAGUUUCUGAGGUGCAAACAUGACUACACGUUAAGAAUGUUUGACAACUACCAAAUAUGAUCAUAAUCUAUCCAAGUGCUGCAGUCUUCUGAAUAUUGAGAUGUGUACAAACAGCCACUCAGUCCCAUUUUCUACAGGUUUCUACUGCUUAUUGUGUUUUCUCUCUGUCUGUUUUAACACCCUGCUUAUUUAUUCCAUGCAUUUUUAACACUUGCAAUGUUUGAGUGGCAUAGUGUUUUCUCACUGAGUACAAGGUCAAAGUAUAAUUCAAAUAUUUAAAGCUAACUCUUUGGCUGACUGGUCGCUAGUUUUAUUAUCUUGUGCGUUGAACAGCUUUAAGUAUUCCAAUAGUGUCUUAUCUUUGGAUUUGGAAAAUGUUGCAGAAUAUAAAUUCCUAUAUAUAAUUUCACUAGAAGAGUCUAGUAUCAAAAUCUACAAAGUAUAACGUGCUUCCACCAAAGAAUAAAUGGCAAAGCACUUGAAACAAAUGCGAUUCAACUGAACUCCCAUUACAUGCAGCUUCCAAAAUCUACUGUGCUAUAUAGAAAGUGCAUAUCCUCUACUCCUUUCAAAGUAGUGACAGUUCACCCUUCUAGAAUAAUAGUUUAUAUCAAAUAUAAAGCAAAUCUACAAAAAUAAUGGAAUUUCUUCUUUUAUUCUGCUAUGUAAAGCAACUUUGACCUAGAAAAGUGCUGUAUAAAUUUGAUGUAUUAUAUUGUUUUUAAGGCCACAAAGUAAAAAAAUAUAGCCACAAAGAAAUAUGUAUAAAUGUAUAAGCUUUAAAGCCAGCACUUUUUAGGGUAAUGAGAUAUACUGCAAAAGCUCUGUUUGAAAAUCCCCGACUACACCAGUUUGAACAAUAUACAGUUUAAAGGUAAACAUCGACUUGUCUAUUAAGACCAAUUGUAAACUUGUAAAAUGAUGGCAGUGUCAAUUCAAGACAAAGUGUCAAUAAGAGGGAUUUGGAUGGUUUAACUCCCUGCUAUUGCCACCAGUGAAUCCAGUCACCUUUAUAUAAGCCUGGACUUAUAAUAGGCAGAGUAAUGUGCAUAAUAAAGAUGCUGGUGAAUUGGCAUUGUGUUUGUACCCUGUGCCGAUGUGGUUGAGCUGCGUGUUUGUUCCAAUGGGUUGCAUGAUAAGGCUUUAGUGCUGAAUGUGUGCUUGUGUUGUGUGCUGGUAGCAUUGCAUUGAGAUUAUGAAGGUCCAGAGGUCCUCUAACUGGAUUUCUUCAGGCUACUGGUGCCUGUACCUCUCGACUUGUUCAACACCACGGUGGCCUGAGAAAAAAA
Long non-coding RNA from Sander lucioperca (pikeperch), 2305 nucleotides. RefSeq lists it as uncharacterized. NCBI's taxonomy places the organism in Eukaryota, Metazoa, Chordata, Actinopteri, Perciformes, Percidae. The transcript has 2 exons. The record is from RefSeq and is a predicted model, not a curated record.